Molecule: transfer RNA, 57 nt
Filed under: Pelecotoma fennica
Lineage: Eukaryota; Metazoa; Arthropoda; Insecta; Coleoptera; Ripiphoridae
Description: tRNA-Ser
Source: RNAcentral
GAAAUAUACCCACUUAAGCUUCUAACUUAAAAAUAAGCGAUCAACGUUUGUAUUUCU